CAGUCGCCGCGGUAAUACGAAGGGUGCAAGCGUUAAUCGGAAUUACUGGGCGUAAAGCGUGCGUAGGCGGUUCGUUAAGUCUGUUGUGAAAGCCCCGGGCUCAACCUGGGAAUGGCAAUGGAUACUGGCGAGCUAGAGUAUGUCAGAGGAUGGUGGAAUUCCCGGUGUAGCGGUGAAAUGCGUAGAGAUCGGGAGGAACAUCAGUGGCGAAGGCGGCCAUCUGGGACAACACUGACGCUGAGGCACGAAAGCGUGGGGAGCAAACAGGAUUAGAUACCCGAGUAGUCCCUGUCUCUUAUAC
This 301-nucleotide ribosomal RNA is filed under the name uncultured bacterium. Its description in RNAcentral is "partial 16S ribosomal RNA". It matches the Rfam family "Bacterial small subunit ribosomal RNA", at positions 509 to 807 of the family's 1533-position model. The record is from RNAcentral.